RNAcentral lists this ribosomal RNA (367 nucleotides) under uncultured bacterium. RNAcentral's name for it is "partial 16S ribosomal RNA". It matches the Rfam family "Bacterial small subunit ribosomal RNA", at positions 338 to 723 of the family's 1533-position model. The record is from RNAcentral.
CCUACGGGGGGCUGCAGUGGGGGAUAUUGCACAAUGGAGGAAACUCUGAUGCAGCGACGCCGCGUGAGGGAAGACGGUCUUCGGAUUGUAAACCUCUGUCUUCGGGGAAGAAAAUGACGGUACCCAAAGAGCAAGCUCUGGCAAACUACGUGCCAGCAGCCGCGGUAAUACGUAGGGCGCGAGCGUUCUCGGGAAUUACUGGGGGUAAAGGGAGCGUAGGUGGACGGGAAAGUUGAAGGUUAAAUCUAGCGGUUAAAGUGGGAGCUGCGUGCAAAACUUCUAGACUUGAGUGAGGUAGAGGAAAGCGGAAUUCCAGGUGUAGCAGUGAAAUGCGUAGAUAUUAGGAGGAACACCAGUGGCGAAGGCG